AUUUUUAAUAAAGGAAAUGGCAGCAAAAUUCCUACGGAUAUGAGGCAAUAUGGCCACCUUUCUUUGAAAGUAAAAACAUCAUUAUAUUAGCAAGCAUUUCACGUUAGCCUAUCCUUUUACACACUUGAUGAACAUCAUUAUAUUAGCAAGCAGCAAACAUUUCACGUUUUGGAAAGAUUAGCAACGUUAACGCUGUUGUGUUUUAUUUAUUUCAAGGAAGAAAAAUGUAAUCUCUCUCAAGAACAACGUAUGGAUUUUGCUUUAUAUUUAGAUCCCGUUGUUCCGUUCUGUCGUGUUGUCGAAUUCGGGCUUUCUUCAAAGCGAAGUAAGGUGGAAAAAGAAUAGUUCUUCGCAUAUAAGGUUUAUCAUAUUAAUUGUGGAAGUUCUUGGCUGGACCGAGCUCUUGAACGACGUAAGGUACAGAAAGUCGGUUUGGUGACCCUUCAGCAUAGGACUUCUACUCAGCUUUCUUGGAGAGCUCCGUUGUUCCGGAGUCUAGACUUUUGGUACAGAUCUUAUGAUAUAUAUGUAUAUGUUUAACCAGGGGUACGGUGGGGCCCUGUCCCGUCAUAUUUCGCUAUCGAUACUCUUAGAGGUCUGUAGACAUAUGUGUGGGUUGUGUAUAAGUUCUGUUCAGCUGUGUCUAAACGAUGUGCGAUGGAUAUGUUCGUCUGUGAUGGCAGCCUUGUCGGCUUGCAUAUGAUAUGAUAUUGAUGUAUAGUGGCAGCCUUGUCGGCUUGCGUAUCAUUUUAUGAUUUGAUCAGUUGUGACUCCUCAGGAGACAGUUCAUCUGGAUAUAUAUAUAUGAUGACGUUAUGGACCUUCGGAGUUCUUCGUAAGUUUCCA
Molecule: long non-coding RNA, 846 nt
Organism: Lycium barbarum (goji berry)
Lineage: Eukaryota; Viridiplantae; Streptophyta; Magnoliopsida; Solanales; Solanaceae
Exons: 3
Source: RefSeq, a predicted model, not a curated record